Molecule: ribosomal RNA, 492 nt
Filed under: uncultured bacterium
Lineage: Bacteria
Description: partial 16S ribosomal RNA
Rfam family: Bacterial small subunit ribosomal RNA
Source: RNAcentral
AGUGAACGCUGGCGGUAGGCCUAACACAUGCAAGUCGAACGGCAGCACAGUAAGAGCUUGCUCUUACGGGUGGCGAGUGGCGGACGGGUGAGGAAUACAUCGGAAUCUACUUUUUCGGGGGGGAUAACGUAGGGAAACUUACGCUAAUACCGCAUACGACCUACGGGUGAAAUCAGGGGAUCUUCGGACCUUGCGCGAUUGAAUGAGCCGAUGUCGCAUUAGCUAGUUGGCGGGGUAAAGGCCCACCAAGGCGACGAUCCGUAGCUGGUCUGAGAGGAUGAUCAGCCACACUGGAACUGGGACACGGUCCAGACUCCUACGGGAGGCAGCAGAGGGGAAUAUUGGAAAAUGGGCGCAAGCCUGAUCCAGCCAUACCGCGUGGGUGAAGAAGGCCUUCGGGUUGUAAAGCCGUUUUGUUGGGAAAGAAAAGCAGCAGGUUAGUACGCCGCUGUUCUGACGGUACCCAAAGAGUAAGCACCGGCUAACUUCGUG